This 375-nucleotide ribosomal RNA is filed under the name uncultured soil bacterium. Its description in RNAcentral is "bacterial SSU rRNA". It matches the Rfam family "Bacterial small subunit ribosomal RNA", at positions 26 to 383 of the family's 1533-position model. The record is from RNAcentral.
AGAGUGAACGCUGGCGGCAGGCCUAACACAUGCAAGUCGAACGGCAGCACAGUAAGAGCUUGCUCUUAUGGGUGGCGAGUGGCGGACGGGUGAGGAAUACAUCGGAAUCUGCCUAUUUGUGGGGGAUAACGUAGGGAAACUUACGCUAAUACCGCAUACGACCUACGGGUGAAAGCGGAGGACCUUCGGGCUUCGCGCAGAUAGAUGAGCCGAUGUCGGAUUAGCUAGUUGGUGGGUAAACGGCCACGAGGCGACGAUCCGUAGCUGGUCUGAGAGGAUGAUCAGCCACACGUGGAACUGAAGACACGGUCCAGACCUCCGUACGGGAGGCAGGCGAGGUAGGGGAAUAGUUAGGACAAGUGGGCGACGAACGCC